Gasterosteus aculeatus aculeatus (three-spined stickleback) is the source of this 2911-nucleotide long non-coding RNA. Lineage: Eukaryota; Metazoa; Chordata; Actinopteri; Perciformes; Gasterosteidae. The record is from Ensembl.
CUACUCCUACGUCUCCUACACCUACUCCUCCUGCUCCUCCGUCUCCUCCUCCUCCUCCUCCUCCUCCUGCUCCUCCUCCUCCUCGUCUUUGAUGGAGUCACAUUUAAAUCUCAGCAGUCAGACACGGCGGCUCAUCUUCACAUCACAAUGUGACAAUAGAGGUUAUCUGCAUGUCGGAGAGGACAGGUUUCUAUGAGCUACAGGAGGCUUUGUGCGUCUGUGUGUGUCUGUGUGUGUGUCUGUGUGUGUCUCUGUGUGUGUCUGUGUGUCUCUGUGUGUGUGUGUCUGUGUGUGUCUGUGUGUGUCUCUGUGUGUGUCUGUGUGUCUCUGUGUGUGUGUGUCUGUGUGUGUGUCUGUGUGUGUCUCUGUGUGUGUCUGUGUGCAUUGAGCUCAAGCUUUGUCACAGUUGUGUUUGUGUCACUGAAUACGCCUUGUUGUUGUGUGUGGUUGUUUACAGGGUGUUGUUUGUUGUGAUAAGAAGGUACCGCCCCCCCACAUCAUUGUCAACAAUGAAAACAACAUAAUCUGCUUUUCUUUCUGUUGUUGGAGAGCGCCGUUUCCUCUUCACCUCUUUCCUCUGAUCCGUGAGCGUUGGAGCUUUCUGACUCUAGAGGGGCGGGACUUCAUCACAUCACAUUACAUUACAUCACAUUACAUUACAUUACAUUACAUUACAUCACAUUACCUCACAUCACAUUACAUCACAUCACAUCACAUCACAUUACAUUACAUUACAUCACAUGUCAUUUAGCUGACGCUUUUAUCCAAAGCCACUUACAAUAAGUGCAUUCAACCAUAAGGAUACAAACUGCAAUUUCAUCAAAUAAGCCAAUUUACAACUGUCGAGUGUCACACUGAGGUUCCUGCAGUCAAAGUGGGCGUUAACACGGAGUUGCCAAAGUUGACCGUCAAGUUCUGGGUCAGAGAAUCUUUUCCGUGCCGCCACCUGGGUGUCCGAGUGAGGGAAGGAGAGAAUUAGUUGGGUGUCGUCGGCAUAGCUGUGGUAAGAGAAGCCAUGCGAGCGAAUGACAGCGCAGAGAGAGUUGGUGUAGAGCGGAAAACAGGAGGGGACCCAGGACGGAACCCUGAGGAACUCCAGCAGUAAGAGGACAAGGUUCCGACACAGAUCCUCGCCAGGUUGCCCGGUAGGUGCGGCCGUCGAGGUAGGACGAGAGACGGGAGAGAGCAGAGCCUGAGACACCAAGUUCCUGAAGGGAGGAGACAAGGAUCUGGUGGUUGACCGUGUCAAAUGCAGCAGAGACGUCCAGAAGGACGAGGACAGAGGACAGAGAGGAGCUCUAGCAGUGUGGAGUUGCUCUGAGACAGCAAGGAGAGCAGUCUCUGUGGAGUGGCCUUGAAGCCUGACUGGUGGGGGUCAAGGAGGUUGUUACAGUGGAGAUAAGAGGAGAGUUGGUUAAAGAUCACACGUUCAAGGGUUUUGGACAAAAAGGGAAGAAGAGAGACUGGUCUGUAGUUGUUUUCUUCAGAAGGGUUGAGGGUGGGUUUCUUCAGGAGAGGGUUGACUCUUGCGAUAGAUUGUAGAAGAUGUGAUGGAAUGGGGUCAAGAGGGCAGGUGGUGGACGGGCAGAGGUUACUAGGGUAAGAACUUGGUUAGGAGACGGGGGGUGAAGGAGGGAAGUGAGGGCGAUAGAGGUGAAGCCAGUGGGUUUGAGAAAGAGGAGCGUAUGUCAGCUAUGUUCUUGGUAAAGUAGUUGACAAAGUCUCCUGGAAGAAGGGUGGAGGGGGGGAGGACUAGGGGGUCCCAGGAGGUUAGAGAAGAUAGAAAUGAAGAUUGGAUUCUGAUUGGUAGAAAGAGCUUUUGGCAGCAGAGACAGAAGCAGAAAAAGAGGAGAGAAGAGAUUGAAACUCAAGCAGGUCAUCAGGUCGUUUAUAUUUACGCCGUCUCCUCUCCGACGCUCGCAUGGCGGCUCUCAUGGCACCGGAUCAGACCGACACGGAGCCGCAGGGGAUUCACCGACCCGUCGGGUCAUAAGAGGACAGAGAGUCCAGAGAGGAGGACAGAGAGUCCAGAGAGGAGGACAGAGAGUCCAGAGAGGAGGACAGAGUUGAGAGGAGAGUCUCUGCAGCAGCGUCAGAUGCAAACUACUUAUUCAAUACUUCCUCUGGGGAGCAUGAAUGAGUCCAUUAGCUCAGUGAAAAUAGGGUCAAUCCUUCUCCUUUUUAAUUAAUUCAAGUUAUAAUAUAAACUUUGUAUUAAAUGAUGUUGGGAACAGUCUGUUUGGGGACCAGUGUGUUAGGAAUCAAUGGAGAUGCAGGAGGACAGCAGCGAUGAUCAUCAUGGUUCUGUGGAAGUGGAACGAAGAACACUGAAGCACGAGGACAUUUCUAUAUUUUGAAGAUAUUUCUUACAGACCUUUUUGUCCUUCCAGAGACAGAAUGUCUUUAUCCGACACUCUGAGAUGCAACGUGAGUCUCUGGGAGAAGAGCUUGUAUGUACGACUUCUUCAUGGUUGAUCCUCCAUUGACUGUUGGGUGUGUGUCUGCCGUCGAGGCAGCGCUUCAUCUGGAGCGUCUAAUGUGGCAGAUGACAGAGAGGGUUCUAUCGGUUCUAAAGAGGGUCCGGUAUCGGUUCUAAAGAGGGUCGGAUAUCGGUUCUAAAGAGGGUCCGGUAUCGGUUCUAAAGAGGGUCCGGUAUCGGUUCUAAAGAGGGUCUGAUAUCGGUUCUAAAGAGGGUCAGAUAUCGGUUCUAAAGAGGGCCGGAUAUCGGUUCUAAAGAGGGUCCGGUAUCGGUUCUAAAGAGGGUCCGAUAUCGGUUCUAAAGAGGGUCGGAUAUCGGUUCUAAAGAGGGUCCGGUAUCGGUUCUAAAGAGGGUCCGGUAUCGGUUCUAAAGAGGGGUCUGAUAUCGGUUCUAAAGAGGGUCUGAUAUCGGUUCUAAAGAGGGUCAGAUAUC